UCCGGCAGAGAGUGAGAUUGAUAGAUAUUGAGCUCUAGGUUCAAUCGUUCAGGGCUAUUAGAGGGCCUCCGAUUGAUUAUUUCUUUUACCUGAUUAUAUUAUGUUAAUGCAUUCAUACUAAACUGUUGAAAUUGGCAUGGUACAUUCUUUAUUGAAUCUGUUAUAAGAUUGAUGAUCGAGACAGUUGAGAUAUAUAUGCUAUAUACUAUUUUUCUGGGAAAGUAUACAGGUUUUCCAAAAAGGGGUUAUAAAUGUGGAUUCAUGAAAUGUUUUGGAAAAGCUUUAUUUUCGCCCACUCACGUUUUCUGUUUUUCGCCCCUCCAGGUUCUAGUUGAUAGUUGAGG
This 344-nucleotide long non-coding RNA is filed under the name Malus domestica (apple). RNAcentral describes it as "long non-coding RNA (MDOM_LNC015937)". The record is from RNAcentral. Lineage: Eukaryota; Viridiplantae; Streptophyta; Magnoliopsida; Rosales; Rosaceae.